UCGUAUCUCUCGUCUUCCCCCAAAACCGAAACCCUAAGCGAGCCUCUCCUCUCCCUUUUCUUCUUCCAAAUUCUUCCCAAGAAAAAAAAAACUCUAGCUUUUCGGUGCCCCUAUCUUCUCAAUUCUCGCGGAGAUCCAGGGUUUUCUGCCCUAAAUCGUUAAAGAUUCGACGAUCCAAGGCGGAAGAGGAGCCUAUCUCAAGCAGAGGGUUUUCUGCCCUAAAUCGUCAAAGAUUCGACGAUCCAUGGCGGAAGAGGAGCCUAUCGAGGGUUUUCUGCCCUAAAUCGUCAAAGAUUCGACGAUCCAUGGUGAGAGAGGAGCUGAUCUCAAGCGAUUUCAAGGUAAAUUCUCCCAUCCUCAAGUUCCCAUCGCUGGAUCCAUGGUGGGGAAGUACUUCGAAGAAAAUCAAAGUUGGGAAAGGUAACAUCUUGACCCUUUAAUUGAAGAUAACUUUUUUAUUUUUGUUCAGUUCUGUUGAAAUCAUGUUCUGAUGUUGAUAGCUAGAAACAUACUGUCAUCAAAUUUCUUGAACUUGUCAUCUUUAGAUGUAAAAACCUUCCUUGGCAAUGUAUUUAAUUAACUCGCUUAUU
Asparagus officinalis (garden asparagus) is the source of this 590-nucleotide long non-coding RNA. RefSeq lists it as uncharacterized. NCBI's taxonomy places the organism in Eukaryota, Viridiplantae, Streptophyta, Magnoliopsida, Asparagales, Asparagaceae. The transcript is spliced from 2 exons. The record is from RefSeq and is a predicted model, not a curated record.